CACACUCACACCACACACACACAUACACACACACACAGAGUGAUCUUAGCACUAACAUUGCACACUUUGACAAUGAUUAGACACAACUUUUCCAUUGUGGACUAUUUUCCGCAUCUUUAAAGGUGAAUGGUCUUUGCAGUCCUAGCUUUGAGAGUAUCAAGCAGCUUUUGCAAAUCAAUCUAUCCCGUUUCUAGGUAACCUCUGUUGUCGUUUUUCCAAAAACUCACCCAUUCCUGCCCUUGAAAUCCUCCUCUCUAAAUGAAAACGGUCUCAACCCUGAGAUUAUGAUGUUGCGACUGAAUGAUUCCAUUCAGAGAAAAGCUGUCUCGCUACUUAACUGUGAUCUGACUGCCCAGGAGCAGCCAGCCAGCUGGGACCCAGAAGCCACUCCUGUGGCUUUGCCAGGCUGGGCUUCAAUGUGCCACUGCUGGGAGGCAAUGCUCUGCGGCCUGGAGUGAUUAGGAAAACCACAUGUUUAUACCCAUCAACAUUUCAUUAGCUCUGAAAGCCUUUGACAGGUGUCUUGGUGGACAUGUUGAAACACGCCAGUGACAGGUCCAGCCUGGGUCGUAAGAACUUCAAAAGGGACUGGAAUCCUGAGACCAGCAGACAUGCUUCCUUAUCCUUGUGGCCUGGCAUCCAGAGGUACCUGACAACUGCUGGAUCAGUGACUGGAUGGGCCUGGCCCUGAGGUGAGAAGUUCUGCUGUCAUGUGAUCCCACCAUGGUACGCCAGGCAGGCUCUCCACCAUUGACUCACAGCCUGAACCCAUCUCUAGAGCUCUGGACAGCCAGCAUUUGGCUGCCCAGCUCUUCUCUUUGCUAUGGAACUGCCAUAGUCUUGCUUGGUAGGAGCUGUACCAGCAUGGUUCCUGCAGUGAACAACCAAGAAAGUUAGUGUUGGGAAAAAAUUCCCAACCAGGAAGGAUACCUCUGAAUACCUGCAGCUGAUGCCUCCUGGAGACUUUAGAAGAUUCCCUAGGAAAAGGGGGCAGGUAUUUACAAUUGACUUUGAAAUGUAUAAGAAGUAAAGCCACACCGAGGGGUAGAGAAGCACAGAUCUGUGAGAAAACAAGAUGUUGCAAAACGCUAACAGUAGAAUGUAGUUGACAGGCACACAGUGCUCACUGUAAAAAUGCUUCUAGCUCUGCUGGAAGUUUGAAAUUUCUCAUUAUUAAAAAAAAAAACGCUAACCAUCAAAACACAUUCCCCAGGUGAUUCUGGGGAUGGGCCUGUUUGGGAGCUUCUAGAGGAGAUAAGCAAGAAGAAGCCAUUUGCUGAGAUCCUCCAGGGGCUGCCUGGGGGCUGUGCUGAUCUUUCUUUUCAUAUUUACAGCAUAAUAUGCUGAGAUAAUGGCUCCAUGGUGAAUGAGUAAUUGUUAUGACCGCCAAUAAAGUCCUCAUCGCCUUAUUAAAUGCUGGGCCAUUCCUCUCACAGCAGAGGGAGGAACUGCUGGUGUUCCCUGUCAAGCUGGCGGGAAGGUUCCAAGAUGUGCCUGAGAGUUCCUGCAUGCCACCUAGAAGAAAGUCUCCAUUUCAGCCCUUUUGGCUUUCUGUGUUACCUAAUAAACGUCUGCUUCGUUUGU
Long non-coding RNA from Peromyscus leucopus (white-footed mouse), 1584 nucleotides. RefSeq lists it as uncharacterized. The transcript is spliced from 2 exons. The record is from RefSeq and is a predicted model, not a curated record. NCBI's taxonomy places the organism in Eukaryota, Metazoa, Chordata, Mammalia, Rodentia, Cricetidae.